CCUGGCGGCAAUAGCGCGGUGGUCCCACCUGACCCCAUGCCGAACUCAGAAGUGAAACGCCGUAGCGCCGAUGGUA
This 76-nucleotide ribosomal RNA is filed under the name Serratia nevei. Lineage: Bacteria; Pseudomonadati; Pseudomonadota; Gammaproteobacteria; Enterobacterales; Yersiniaceae. The record is from RNAcentral.